Molecule: long non-coding RNA, 918 nt
Organism: Electrophorus electricus (electric eel)
Lineage: Eukaryota; Metazoa; Chordata; Actinopteri; Gymnotiformes; Gymnotidae
Source: Ensembl
UACAUAUGCUGAGCUGAUGCUUCAAAUUGUCCUCAAGUUUCCUGUUUCUGUUUCAUUCUCCAGGUUCAGUAGAGCCUUUCCAGCCCGAUGCUCCAGGAUGGAAAAGAGAGACAGUGGGUAGACUUUGUCGAAGCGGUAGCCUUGGCGCGGACCCAGAUAUUUUAAAAGCAGCUAACCUCAGUGAUUCUGACAGAGGUUUGCCCAAAGCCAACCGCUUGCUGUCUGGUAACCCCAGUGUAGAGCGCACCUUUUCAGUUCCUUCCAAUCCACCCCCCCCCGGGUCUUUUCUGCUGCCCUCCUACCCUCUGGCCACUCUUCCGGGAGUGCAGCUGACUCCCACCCUGCCUCGUAGAUGCCAUGCAAACUCCUCACUGUCCAUGUCCAAUACAUGGCCCAACAAGCGAGAUACGAUCCCUCGUCACAGGGACCCCAGCUCAUGGGCGGACGAAACAGGUGAAGUUGGAUCCAACAGGUGUUCCCCACUGCCUGCGUGUACUUUGUGGGCGAGCACCAUCUCAUCACCAUCUCAUCAUCCACCCACCUCCCCAGUCAUACGGCAAUCCUCGCAGGAUACCUUGCAGCAAGAGCUGCCUGGUAGGAAUUCCCACCAAGAUGAGGAGCCAGUGGACAGGGAGGAGAUGAUGAACUCCCUUCGCUGCUUGCGUAAUCAUGCGGCUAAGAAGCGAGCCAAGGUAAGCGCGAGUGGCUCUGACCCAGAACCCGACAGCCCGGACUCUGCUGUGAAGCUGGAGCCGAGUACAGACUCCCCCUCUCACACCUCACCAUCUUUGACCAGCCCUCUGAGCGAGAGCAGCCUGUCCAGCCUCUAUUCACCCCCAACUUCCACCAUCACCAAUGGCACCAAGAUCAGGUAGAUGACUGGUCUUGCUCUUACAUACAUAUAUGAAUUAAUCUAUG